GUCCUGUAUUGGUGGAGUGGACUACAGUUCCACCCAACCCUCUGGCAUGGGGUCCUCAGCCACUCAGACAUCUCCCCAGCAGCAGUUGGUCCUUCAGGGAGAAGAGAGUAACGUCGCCCCUCCCCAGCAGCAGCUCCAGUUACCGGGAGUGGAGACAAUCGGUCUUUCUCCCCAGCGGCAGCCAGAGCAAAUGGGAGCUAAGACAACCGGUCUCAC
This is a non-coding RNA of Pelobates cultripes (western spadefoot toad), 216 nucleotides long. The record is from the annotation of a GenBank genome assembly. NCBI's taxonomy places the organism in Eukaryota, Metazoa, Chordata, Amphibia, Anura, Pelobatidae.